AGGACUCCUGGGAUUACUCCAAAAGCAAGCAGAACUUCUAGUGGAGAGAUCCAAGCUCCCAAAUAGGUGAAACAGCUAUCCUGAAAGAAUAAGGACAAAAGCCUGAAGCUAAGGCUGGUGAAACAGGAAGCUACAAGGAACCGGAGUCCUUGAUAACUAUCUGGAGAGGUUACACCUGCUUUGGCCUGUCCACCUCCUGAUUCCUUGCUUUACCCUGGAAGAUUCAAAGAAUUGAUGCCGACCACAGUGGCCAGUGGAAGACUUGAGAAGAAAAUUUAUGUCUUCUGAAUAUAAGCCAGAUGCUCUUUGCCCUGAAUACCCAUUUUUGGAGUAGGAAAAUCAAAUGCUCUGAGCUGUCCUGAAGUUCGGGGGAAUCAAUUCCAUGCAAGACUGCAUAAUUUUACCACAUGUGUAUGCCGGAAUUAAUGUAUAGUAUUAUUUGGUUUUUAAGUUUCAUUUAUUCUAUAUCAUAUGUACAUAUAUUUUAGUAAUUUACUUUUUACAUAGAAUAUUUUGUUUUACAAGUCUAUUCAUAUUGAUAUAUGCAUACUGAUGCAAGCAUUUCAUUUUAACUGUCAAAUAGCAAUAAUCUACAGUUAACUUAUCCAUUCCCUGACUAGUGGACAGUUCGGUUGUUUCUCAAUUUUUACUACACCCAGCAAUGCUGUAAAGAAUAUCUGUGUACACAUAUGCAAGUGUUUCACUAAAAUAUAUGACUGCACUUUACAGUAGAAUUGCUGUGCUCUUUUGUGCAUUUUUACAAAAAGCCCUGUAGGAAUUUCUAUUGGAAUGGCAUUACAUUUUUAAAUAAAUUUGGCCUUUCUGCUUUGUAUCACUGUUCUCAAACUUAGUUGCAUAAGAAUUACCUAGUUAGGGACUUCCCUGGUGGUCCAGUGACUAAGACUCCUCGCUCCCAAUAGAGCGGGCCCAGGUUCAAUCCCUGGUCAGGAAACUAGAUCCCACAUGCUGCAACUAAGAGUUCACAUGCCACAGCUGAAGAUCCUGCAUGCCGCAACAAAGAUCACACGUGCGGCAACUAAGACCUGGCUCAGCCAAAUAAAUAAAUAAAUUUUUUUUAAAGAAUUACCUGGUUAACUAUGUAAGGUGAUGGAUAUGUUAAUUAGCUUGUUGAGGUAACUAUUUCACAAUGUAGAUGUAUAUCAAAAUGUCAAGUCCAGGUCGUGCUCUUUAAAUAUAUACAAUUUUUAUUUGUCCAUUAUAACUCAAUAAAGAUGGAGAGAAAAAAGGAAUCACCUAGCAACAUUAUUAAAAUUCCUUCAAUCUUUUAUCACCCUACCCUGUAAAGAUAUUCAUAGGUCUAGGGUGGGAUUGAUAAAUUUUCAUUUUUUAAUAAGUACUCUCUCCUCAAAAUACUGAUGAGAAUUGACCCUGGUUUACAGAGAAAAACUUCUCUACAUAAAGUAUGCACCCAUGGUUGUGGUCUAUACCAAAUCUAUGAUUUUUUAAUCCCUUUACCACCAACACAUACCAUAAUUUUUUUAAAGCACAAUGGCCCUAUUAGCAUUUCACCUCUACCCCAUCCAAUCCUGAUUAGUAAAAAUAGGUUAAGCACCCACUUGUAAUUGAGAUUGGCACCCUGCACCAGAUUCUUUUAAAUAACCUUCUGGUAAUCUCCUCUGUUCUGACAUGCAGUGCUUUACUGAAUAGCAUCUAAACACCUAGGCACUGCCAAAAUUCAAUAUGUGUGUUUUUGCCUUUAUUUUUUUUUAAAUGUUGUUAUUUAUAACCUCAUCAUUCUGUUCCACAAGGAAAAUAAUAAAUCAUAAAGUAUUACUUAAUGUCAUUGUUUCAUGUUAUUAUACCAUAACUAUUUUUAACAGCUUUAUUGGGAUAUAAUUUAUACCAUAAAGUUCACCUGUUUAAAUGUGUUUAAGUAUACAAUUCAAUGGUAUUUAGCAUAUUUACAGAAUUGUGAAACCAUUACUAUAAUCUAAUUUUAAAACAUUUUCAUUGUUCC
Long non-coding RNA from Balaenoptera acutorostrata (minke whale), 1978 nucleotides. RefSeq lists it as uncharacterized. The transcript is spliced from 4 exons. Lineage: Eukaryota; Metazoa; Chordata; Mammalia; Artiodactyla; Balaenopteridae. The record is from RefSeq and is a predicted model, not a curated record.